CUUUGAGCCCCUGAAGGGUGGUGACCUGGUUCUCUUACACUGACCUCCUGACAGCUGCCCAGCUGCACUGAGAAAGCACAGGGCCCCAGAGGGGGCUUGCUUCCAAAAUACCUUGGGUGUUUUCUGUACCCUCCCACCUACCUGUCCCCCAACACACACACACACACACACACACACUUAGCAGGCGGAGGCGGGGGCCUGAGGGAUUAGAGGGAUAGAGUGACUGUCAAUAAGAAGAGAUUAGAAUCCGGGCAGGACGUGUCCACACUGGGGUCUUCAGAUAGUACACUCAACAUCUGCGGCUCCUCCUCGGUCCGGCCCUCAGGUUUUGUAACACUCAAGAAGUACAUGAAAGAGGCCUCUUUCAUCAAGUAUUCUUAAGUUAUGAAAAUGGAAUUGAAGCAUAUUUUCCCCCUUCGUAUGAGAGAGAACUUACGUGAAAUCAAGUAUUCGCGAUUUUUCAGAACUGCAUAUGGAGAAGUUGCUGAAAUUCAAUCUUGCUUCCAGAUAAAGUCAGCACAGCAUUACCCAGUUAUUAUGUAGCAUUUCCAUGCAAACUAAUAAAUAGUAUUUCAACUUAAAAUUUCGGUUUUUAAUCUAGAUGUAACUUAAAAACUCUUACAAGUAAAAACUCUUAGAAGUAAGCAUUCUUGUCCAUCAGAAGUUUGUACAGAAAAAGCAAAUUCAAAGGGACAAAUAUGGGCAGUGCCUUCCAGCACUGACAGGGGGAAAAGAUCCUGGCUCAAGAACACAGGUCUCUAGGCAAUGAAGCAAGUGUAUCCCUCAAGAGAGAAGAAUGCAUUAAGUUGUCAUGGCUUUGAAACAUCAGCCAUUUACACCUCCCAACUUAUUCCCCUGGUUCUGAACCCAGAUUCACUUGGUAACCAUUCCAUUGCUUAUAAUUCUUCUUUGCAUAUACUUGUAUCUGUAUCUACAUCUAUACCUACAGGGACAAAAUACAGCAGUCAAUAUAACUCAUUAGCUUGAUGGAUGUAUUUCUUAUUGUAAACUAAUAUAUUGGCAUUCUGAGAUAAAAAAGCUUUUUUAUUCAUGUGAAUAUUGUCAGUGAGAUCAUUUUAAAGUCACAUAACUCUCAGCCACACAUACGGAGGUAGAAGUUCCGUUUCUGGAACAUGAGACUAGAAAUUGUCAUUUGUCAUCCCUUUUUGCUUAUAAAAUACAGCCACUCCCAUACCUGCUACCACAAUGCCUUCCCCACCCCAUGGGAAAGGGAAGUAACACUUGUAAGAAAUGACAAGAGGUCUAACGUUG
This 1272-nucleotide long non-coding RNA is filed under the name Equus caballus (horse). RNAcentral's name for it is "lncRNA (ENSECAG00000058809.1)". The record is from RNAcentral. Lineage: Eukaryota; Metazoa; Chordata; Mammalia; Perissodactyla; Equidae.